UACGGAGGGUGCAAGCGUUAUCCGGAUUCACUGGGUUUAAAGGGUGCGUAGGCGGGCAGGUAAGUCAGUGGUGAAAUCUUUGGGCUUAACCCGAAAACUGCAAUUGAUACUAUCUGUCUUGAAUAUUGUGGAGGUUUGCGGAAUAUGUCAUGUAGCGGUGAAAUGCUUAGAUAUGACAUAGAACACCUAUUGCGAAGGCAGCAAACUACGCAUAUAUUGACGCUGAGGCACGAAAGCGUGGGGAUCAAACAGG
RNAcentral lists this ribosomal RNA (253 nucleotides) under uncultured bacterium. RNAcentral's name for it is "partial 16S ribosomal RNA". It matches the Rfam family "Bacterial small subunit ribosomal RNA", at positions 524 to 776 of the family's 1533-position model. The record is from RNAcentral.